AGUGAACGCUGGCGGUAGGCCUAACACAUGCAAGUCGAACGGCAGCACAGGAGAGCUUGCUCUCUGGGUGGCGAGUGGCGGACGGGUGAGGAAUACAUCGGAAUCUACUCUGUCGUGGGGGAUAACGUAGGGAAACUUACGCUAAUACCGCAUACGACCUACGGGUGAAAGCAGGGGAUCUUCGGACCUUGCGCGAUUGAAUGAGCCGAUGUCGGAUUAUCUAGUUGGGGGGGUAAAGGCCCACCAAGGCGACGAUCCGUAGCUGGUCUGAGCGGCUGAUCAGCCACACUGGAACUGAGACACGGGCCAGACGCCUACGGGAGGCAGCAGUGGGGAAUAUUGGACAAUGGGCGCAAGCCUGAUCCAGCCAUACCGCGUGGGUGAAGAAGGCCUUCGGGUUGUAAAGCCCUUUUGUUGGGAAAGAAAUCCAGCUGGCUAAUACCCGGUUGGGAUGACGGUACCCAAAGAAUAAGCACCGGCUAACUUCGUGCCAGCAGCCGCCGCCG
RNAcentral lists this ribosomal RNA (506 nucleotides) under uncultured bacterium. RNAcentral's name for it is "partial 16S ribosomal RNA". It matches the Rfam family "Bacterial small subunit ribosomal RNA", at positions 29 to 523 of the family's 1533-position model. The record is from RNAcentral.